GAAGGUUUGGCGGCGACACCUAUUAGAAGAGAGAGACAGAUGGCCUUACCUCUCAGCUCCUGCGUCCACAGCUGUGAGUGGAGGGAAGAAGACCUCCCUCACUAGGCUAAGGUAGAUGAAAAACAGCCAACUGGAGGGCAUGUUUCUAUUCAAACUGUAUGGGCAGCUAGACUCCUGCUUCUCAGUCUUAACAUAGAAGACAUCAUCAGGCUCACAAAGAAGAUGUUCUUCUCAUUUAGCCUUUCGGCAGUAAGAGCUCCCUCUUGGUUUAUUUCACCCUUAAGAUAAACUCUGG
Condylura cristata (star-nosed mole) is the source of this 295-nucleotide long non-coding RNA. RefSeq lists it as uncharacterized. The transcript is spliced from 3 exons. The record is from RefSeq and is a predicted model, not a curated record. Lineage: Eukaryota; Metazoa; Chordata; Mammalia; Eulipotyphla; Talpidae.